AGAUGGUUUUUGUGAUGAAAUCGAAAACGGCCUAUACACCAGAUGUCAUGAUAAGGGUAAACGAUGUGGAGAUAACUUCUGUACUACGUUUAGUAAAUGUGUAGAUGGCACGUGCAUGCCUAUCAAUGGCUGUGAUGAACAGGAUGAAGGUAAUGAUUGUACUGAUGUUGGCGGCAAGUGUUCAAACGGUGUUUGUCACGAACAAUGUAAAGACGAAAAGAAUUGCAUGGGGUACCCUUGUGUUAAGGGAUUUUGUGCAGAAGCCUAUUGUGAAGAGUCGAUUUGUUUUGGUUAUAAAUAACCUGUAUCUCCUUAAACCAACAAGAUACAAACAACUUCACCUGUAUCUCUUUAAAGUAACCAGUUAAACCAACAACUACUAUAUAUUUACCUGUAUACCUUUAAAUAGCUAGAUACAAACAACUACAACUUCACCUGUACACCUUUAAAG
This is a long non-coding RNA of Patella vulgata (common limpet), 451 nucleotides long. RefSeq lists it as uncharacterized. NCBI's taxonomy places the organism in Eukaryota, Metazoa, Mollusca, Gastropoda, Patellidae. The record is from RefSeq and is a predicted model, not a curated record. The transcript has 5 exons.